This 201-nucleotide long non-coding RNA is filed under the name Lathyrus oleraceus (garden pea). Its description in RNAcentral is "Pisum sativum (pea) long non-coding RNA (PSAT_LNC018032)". The record is from RNAcentral. Lineage: Eukaryota; Viridiplantae; Streptophyta; Magnoliopsida; Fabales; Fabaceae.
UACUCAUAUGAACAUCAAUAAUCUAAAUUCAACACACAAUUACACCGAAUUUCACCAUUAACACAAUAAAAUCUGAAUCACAUAUACAACAUAAUCAUAGAGAUUUUACACAAAUAUCACGUGAUUCAAGGAUAACAAACCAUAAAGGAAAAUGGGUUAAGGGAACCCACAUUAUCCCAAAUCUUAAACACCAAAUAUAAA